CGAGGCGGCCCCCUGGACAAGACUGACGCUCAGGUGCGAAAGCGUGGGGAGCAAACAGGAUUAGAUACCCUGGUAGUCCACGCCGUAAACGAUGUCGACUUGGAGGUUGUUCCCUUGAGGAGUGGCUUCCGGAGCUAACGCGUUAAGUCGACCGCCUGGGGAGUACGGCCGCAAGGUUAAAACUCAAAUGAAUUGACGGGGGCCCGCACAAGCGGUGGAGCAUGUGGUUUAAUUCGAUGCAACGCGAAGAACCUUACCUACUCUUGACAUCCAGAGAACUUAGCAGAGAUGCUUUGGUGCCUUCGGGAACUCUGAGACAGGUGCUGCAUGGCUGUCGUCAGCUCGUGUUGUGAAAUGUUGGGUUAAGUCCCGCAACGAGCGCAACCCUUAUCCUUUGUUGCCAGCGGUUCAGCCGGGAACUCCAAGGAAAAUGCCCAUGGAUAACUUGAAGAAGGUGGGGAAGGACUCCAGUUAUCCUGGGCCUUACCAGUUAGGCUUCCCACCUGCUACCAUUGCGCAUACCAAGAAAAACCACCUCCCGAGAACCAGCGGAACUCAUUAAGUGGGUCCUAAUUCGGAACCGAAUCCUGCACUUCACUUCCUGAAAUUCGAAUCGGCUGUAAUCGUAGAUGAAAAUGCUACAAUGAAUACGUCCCGGGCGUGGGUAGCUUAACCUUCGGGAGGGCGCUUGCCACGGUGUGGCCGAUGACUGGGGUGAAGUCGUAC
RNAcentral lists this ribosomal RNA (726 nucleotides) under Lelliottia amnigena. Its description in RNAcentral is "bacterial SSU rRNA". It matches the Rfam family "Bacterial small subunit ribosomal RNA", at positions 717 to 1533 of the family's 1533-position model. Lineage: Bacteria; Pseudomonadati; Pseudomonadota; Gammaproteobacteria; Enterobacterales; Enterobacteriaceae. The record is from RNAcentral.